Ailuropoda melanoleuca (giant panda) is the source of this 1864-nucleotide long non-coding RNA. RefSeq lists it as uncharacterized. Lineage: Eukaryota; Metazoa; Chordata; Mammalia; Carnivora; Ursidae. The record is from RefSeq and is a predicted model, not a curated record. The transcript has 2 exons.
UGUAAGACUCCAGGGCCUUCAAGCUGUGAUUAAUCAGAUGGUUCCUGAAAUGACUAGGAAGACAGACGCUUUGGUGCCCAUCGAAGAGCGUAUGUCUGUGUAUAUCUAAGACCUCCUUUGUACACAUACACAUUGACACCAGAAGACAGGCUCAUUCUUGUGCACACUUGAAGAGUUUUACAACUGAUGAAAAUUAAUUUAAGAAUCAGAUGGAGCAACUUGACACUACUGGGCUCAGGAGCCCGGGGAGAAAAAUAUGUUACUAAUGGUCAGUUUUCCACAUGGUCUUCACGGGUAAAGAAAGUUUGCAAAAAGAAGAAAAAAAAACUUGCACAGUUCAAGCCUCAAAAAUACCUCUGCAGUUUAAAGAAGGAACUAAGUGAGAAGGUGGCCGGGGGAGAAGUGUGGUGUCAGGCAGCGCGGGCGGCAUCAUGCAGUGGGUUUUGCACUUUAUUUUCCAGUGUUUUUGGUGAUUUGGACAGACUUCAAAACUCUGGACUGAGAAGUAACUCUGGCUGUGUAUGACUUCAGGAAAGCAAGGUCAGGAUAAUAUUUUAAAGUAGCAAUUGAAACCAGUAUUUACAAAAUAAGUAUCAAGGAACAUCCAAGUAAAGCUUCCUUUCCUUGGACUGUACAUGUGGCAUUUGGAAGCAUCUCUGAAUGUGAGCAGGAGAGCGCCCAUCAGCACAGCCUGCUGACUCUCUAGGGAAACAGUGCGGAAGAACCCAACUCUUGUCUGUUUUCACGUUAAGGGCUUCUCUUCCCUGUUGAGUCCAAGAAGACUUGCAUGUAGGAGGAAGAGUACUUGAUGUACUUAAUUCUGAAAAUAGUCUUUUCCUUCAAGAUGGAAAAAUAGGUAUCUUUAGGAACAGAAAGGGGAGAAGCCAGUAGGGGAGAGAAGAAGGAGACGGGGCAAAAGAGAUAGAAUCCUGUAGUGAGGCUCCGUUUUGUCAACGAGAGGAUUUAGGAUUCACCCAAUGCAAACACGUGUGCCACUUAAAGAGCUUUAGAACCUUCUGGCUCUGUGAGCGAAGGGGUUUUCUCUCUCCGCCUCUAUGGCACUGAAGAGUGCACCGGUCUGUGGAGGGCCAGUCAGAUGGAGCCCAGCUCUCUGCCAGGACACAGCAACCUGCCUGCUGGGAAGCCAGGCCGGGCCCUGAGGUGGGAAGUUUCUGGUUCAGAACUGUGGGGAGAGUCUUUUUUUCUUUCUGAACUUGGACUGCUGUCUGCACAAACUCUGGUCUGUUUUGCACGGUUUGUGUGCCUUUUUUUCCCUUUAUGCAAUCUUUUUCAGCUUCAGCAGCAGAAAUUUGUCUAGUUGAGAAAACAUGCCAGAGGGUGGCUUCAGAAGGAAGAUGAUCCCACGUGUUCUGUCUCUGCAUCUGAACUUUUGAAGAGAAAUUCCAGCUCGAGGGAUUCUUUAAAGCCUUAAGUUACUUGAAAUCUAUGUAUUUGCAACCCUUUGUCUCUGGAAUCAUAUUACACUAAACUGGAAUCUCAGGCUGAAUGAGAAUAACCAAGUUGAGUAAAAAGAAGAAAACCCCCUUUCUUGAUCAGCACGUGUUAAUGACACUCUUCCUCUAAGGACUUGAAAAUAAAAAUGGACGCAUGUUGUUUUUAAGCAUUACCUUUUCCUAGCAGACUGCCAUCAUCUUUUCUAGAGGAAUUUUUUCACUAUGCAUUUGGUGGCUCUUUAUAAAAUACUGACCUUGUAGUUAGAUUCAGGUCAGUCUUCAUUAAAAGGGGUCGGGGAAAAUAACGCAAGCCAACCACAAAAAUCAAUCAGUUGAUCCAUGAAAAGCAUUGGUUUAAGUUUUUCGGCAUUCAGCAUUACUUUUUAAAUAAAACAAUUCGCUGGAAAAAA